Helianthus annuus (common sunflower) is the source of this 723-nucleotide long non-coding RNA. RefSeq lists it as uncharacterized. The record is from RefSeq and is a predicted model, not a curated record. NCBI's taxonomy places the organism in Eukaryota, Viridiplantae, Streptophyta, Magnoliopsida, Asterales, Asteraceae. The transcript is spliced from 4 exons.
CACGUUGAAAAUCGAUAACACCACUAUCAAUCAUCUAUUUUUUUUAUUUAUCUAAUUUAUAUAAUCUUAAACACAAAGGUCGGUGACUAGAGUGCCACCAACCAACAACUCAUUUGUCUUUUUAUUUACCUUUACUUUUAUCUUUUCUUGAAAGUUCUAUGUUUUAUUUAAUAUUUUCUGGCUUCUUCUCUUUUUACCAGACACGUCUUUCACAAAUCUCCAGACACGCCACAGUUUCUUCUUUGUUUCCUCACAUUUGCACGCCAUGGAUCUUCAAGAUGGUCUCUUCUUUGCAAGUUUUCAUAAAUGAGAGAGAGAUCGGAAGAAGCAACAGAGAUCGAGAUCUCAUGUCGGACAAAUUGAAGAUCAACGGUUUUGUGAGAUCUUCAAACACGAGUACUACCCAGCGAAGUGUUUCGCGUUCUCUUGCCGCUGCAAUUCCUGAAUUACCAGCCUUUCGACUUUAGUUCCCAAGUUAUUGGAAACUUAAAGAAGCCUGAUCAAAUCCAAGAUCAACUGUUUGUAGAUCCUCUACAUCAAGGAGGCUGGGCUUAAUGCAAAACUACUAUUGAGCCGGAGGUCUCACUGGAUGUAGUCUCUCUAUUCCUUUAGAGUAGAGAUAAAACUGUUUACAUCUUACUCUCCUCAAACUCUAAGUUAGCUUUGCUAUUGAUAAUUUAUUUCAUAAAAUAGAUACAACCGGCUGUGAAAUAUUUUAUUUCA